AUUGAACGCUGGCGGCAGGCCUAACACAUGCAAGUCGAGCGGAUGAAGGGAGCUUGCUCCUGGAUUCAGCGGCGGACGGGUGAGUAAUGCCUAGGAAUCUGCCUGGUAGUGGGGGAUAACGUCCGUAAACGGGCGCUAAUACCGCAUACGUCCUGAGGGAGAAAGUGGGGGAUCUUCGGACCUCACGCUAUCAGAUGAGCCUAUGUCGGAUUAGCUAGUUGGUGUGGUAAAGGCCUACCAAGGCGACGAUCCGUAACUGGUCUGAGAGGAUGAUCAGUCACACUAGAACUGGGACACAGUCCAGACUCCUACGGGAGGCAGCAGUGGGGAAUAUUGGACAAUGGGUGAAAGCCUGAUCCAGCCAUGCCGAGUACGUGAAGAAGGUCUUCGGAUUGUAAAGCACUUUAAGUUGGGAGGAAGGGCAGUAAGUUAAUACCUUGCUGUUUUGACGUUACCAACAGAAUAAGCACCGGCUAACUUCGUG
RNAcentral lists this ribosomal RNA (484 nucleotides) under uncultured bacterium. RNAcentral's name for it is "partial 16S ribosomal RNA". It matches the Rfam family "Bacterial small subunit ribosomal RNA", at positions 30 to 507 of the family's 1533-position model. The record is from RNAcentral.